GAUGAACGCUGGCGGCGUGCCUAAUACAUGCAAGUCGAGCGAACGGACGAGAAGCUUGCUUCUCUGAUGUUAGCGGCGGGCGGGUGAGUAACACGUGGAUAACCUACCUAUAAGACUGGGAUAACUUCGGGAAACCGGAGCUAAUACCGGAUAAUAUUUUGAACCGCAUGGUUCAAAAGUGAAAGACGGUCUUGCUGUCACUUAUAGAUGGAUCCGCGCUGCAUUAGCUAGUUGGUAAGGUAACGGCUUACCAAGGCAACGAUGCAUAGCCGACCUGAGAGGGGGAUCGGCCACGCUGGAACUGAGCCCGGGUCAAGGCCCAUAGGGGAGCCAGCAGUGGGGAAUCUUCCGCAAGGGGCGAAAGCCUGAGGGAGCAACGCCACGGGGGUAAUAGAUGUCUUCGGAUUAUAAAACUCGGUUUUAAGGGAAGAACAUAUGUGUAAGUAAAUGUGCACAUCUGGACGGUACCUAAUCAGAAAGCCACGGCUAACUAAGU
RNAcentral lists this ribosomal RNA (496 nucleotides) under uncultured bacterium. Its description in RNAcentral is "partial 16S ribosomal RNA". It matches the Rfam family "Bacterial small subunit ribosomal RNA", at positions 28 to 506 of the family's 1533-position model. The record is from RNAcentral.